This 175-nucleotide ribosomal RNA is filed under the name Boehmeria clidemioides. RNAcentral describes it as "5.8S ribosomal RNA". The stretch from base 18 to 172 matches the Rfam family "5.8S ribosomal RNA". Rfam says of the family: 5.8S ribosomal RNA (5.8S rRNA) is a component of the large subunit of the eukaryotic ribosome. The record is from RNAcentral. Lineage: Eukaryota; Viridiplantae; Streptophyta; Magnoliopsida; Rosales; Urticaceae.
UAUUAGAGCGUCACAAUGACUCUCGACAACGGAUAUCUCGGCUCUCGCAUCGAUGAAGAACGUAGCGAAAUGCGAUACUUGGUGUGAAUUGCAGAAUCCCGUGAACCAUCGAGUCUUUGAACGCAAGUUGCGCCCGAACCUUUCGGCCGAGGGCACGUCUGCCUGGGCGUCACGC